RNAcentral lists this ribosomal RNA (1197 nucleotides) under Triticum aestivum (bread wheat). Its description in RNAcentral is "partial small subunit ribosomal RNA". Lineage: Eukaryota; Viridiplantae; Streptophyta; Magnoliopsida; Poales; Poaceae. The record is from RNAcentral.
AUGAGCAGCCGCCGCCACCGCUCGCCGUCGGCGGCGCCGCUGGAUGACGAAAACCUACUCCCCGAGAUCCUCCUCCGCCUCCCGCCGCAGCCCUCCUCCCUCCCCCGCGCCUCACUCGUCUGCAAGCGCUGGCGCGGCCUCGUCUCCGACCCCGGCUUCCUCCGCCGCUUCCGGAUCCACCACCGCCGCAGCCCUCCCCUCCUCGGUUGCUUCGUCGAAGAACCUCACGGUAUCUCCUUCCUGCCUGCUCUCGAGGCCCCCAACCGUCUUCCUGCCUGCCGCCUCUCUUUCCAGUCCGGCUACAAUAACCGCUUUAAGCUACUCAACUGCCGCCAUGGCCUCGUGCUCAUCGCCGACAAGACGCGGCACCACCAAUUCCUCGUGUGGGACACCAUCACCGGCGACCAGUACCACCUAGCCGUCCCCGCGCUGUUCGACACGGAAGAGGUGGUGCUGGUCAACGGGGCGAUGCUUCGUGCUGCGGGAGACACCCAUCACUUCCAGGUGGUCUGUGUAGCAACACGCAGACUCGAUCUGCAUCGUCGACAAGCAGCGCUCGCCUGCGUUUACUCGUCGGAGACCGGCGCUUGGGGUAACCUCAUCUCGACGCCCAUUCAGUCCGACCUCGACUCCCAGUCAAGCCUUCAUCUCUACUUAUUCGGCAUCACAAUUAUGGAAGCGCCCGCAAUGCUUCUCGGGGACUCUCUUUACUGGACUCUUACUGAUGAUUCAUCAAGCAUCCUUGAAUUUGAUCUUCUGAGGCAGAGUCUGGCUGUAAUGCGGAUGCCCAAGGAUGUGUAUAAGUAUGAAGGUCACAUCACGGUUAUAAGGGCAGAUAGUGGUGGGCUGGGUUUCCUCAUGCUGACAGACUUCACCCUGCAAUUAUGGAAGCGGAAGAUUGAUUGCGAUGGUGUUGCCUCAUGGGGGCUGGAAAAAACUGUUGAACUGGACAAGCUACUUUCCCUUAAUCCAGAGAAGGGCAGCAUUAUGAUACUUGGGUUUGCUGAGGAAAACAAGAUGGUGUUCCUGGGGACAUUUAUCGGCCUCUUUGCACUCCAGCUUCACUCAUUGCAGUUCAAAAAGCUAUCCGAAAGGACCGAAACCAAAAGCAUAUCUCAUUGCCAUCCAAUUGAAAGUGUGUAUACUGCAGAUGUUGGUGGUGAACAUGGUCGAGCUGAACUUUUGAACAAUGCAUAA